Otolemur garnettii (small-eared galago) is the source of this 74-nucleotide non-coding RNA. Lineage: Eukaryota; Metazoa; Chordata; Mammalia; Primates; Galagidae. The record is from Rfam.
GUGCCUGUGGCUCAAAUGAGUAGAGCGCCGGCUCCAUAUGCCGGAGGUGGUGGGUUCAAACCCUGCCACGGCCA